Lolium rigidum is the source of this 101-nucleotide small nucleolar RNA. The record is from RefSeq and is a predicted model, not a curated record. NCBI's taxonomy places the organism in Eukaryota, Viridiplantae, Streptophyta, Magnoliopsida, Poales, Poaceae.
GUGGCUGCUGUGAUGCUAUGGUAAAGGGAUUUUCUGAGGGAAGGAACUUCGUUUUCUUCCUCCUGAUUGAUAGAAACCAAUGGAUCCUUCUGAGCCUGCCA